UUCUUAUCAAGAGCAGGCGGAGGGACGAGCCCAAUGAAGCCCGGCAACCGACUUAUUUUAUAAGCACGGUGCUAAUUCUUGCAGCAAAAGCUGAAAGAUGAGAA
RNAcentral lists this non-coding RNA (104 nucleotides) under Bacillus methanolicus. RNAcentral's name for it is "SAM-I sequence". It matches the Rfam family "SAM riboswitch aptamer (S box leader)". Rfam says of the family: The SAM riboswitch is found upstream of a number of genes which code for proteins involved in methionine or cysteine biosynthesis in Gram-positive bacteria. The SAM riboswitch acts at the level of transcription termination control. Lineage: Bacteria; Bacillati; Bacillota; Bacilli; Caryophanales; Bacillaceae. RNAcentral also lists the same sequence under 1 other name. The record is from RNAcentral.